Long non-coding RNA from Octopus bimaculoides (California two-spot octopus), 3732 nucleotides. The record is from RefSeq and is a predicted model, not a curated record. Lineage: Eukaryota; Metazoa; Mollusca; Cephalopoda; Octopoda; Octopodidae.
UUGUAUUAUAUAUAUUUAUAUAUCCUUUUCCCCUUUUACAGAUGUGCUACUAUGGAGCACGCCUACAUGUAGUGAUCUCUAUAAUCAUAAAUAUAUAGGGAUUGACAGUAACCUGCUAGCUGAAGAUCAGAAUAGAGUAUUCUUUACUCUUAACUGUGAAACGAUCGUACUAAAUUAACUAAAGGCAGGUGUUUUUUUUUUACUCUUCUCUACUGUUUUUUGUUCUGUGUGUAUCAAAAAUAUCGUUAUCAAUCUGGAGUAAUAAUUUGUAGUUUUGAAAUCAGUAGUUCUUUGACUGUUAUUUCUGAAUUCUCAGUAUGUUGGAGAAGCAGGUUACUGUCAAUCCCUAUAUAUUUAUGAUUAUAAAUGUUUUUUACCGAAAAGGUUUUUUCAUACUGAGCUACCCGGCAAAAUUGUUAAUUAUUAAUUUUAUUACUAAUUGACGAUUCCCUGCCCUGCAUAUCUAUAUUGUAGUGAUCUCUAGAUAGAUGCGUAGUUGAGCAGCAAAAUACUUCAGCUUCAUGGCUAAUGUGCAAUCGCAGAUUUACGUAGCGGCAGCGUUCACCAGGGUGCAGUGACCCAACGCUGUUGGAUCCAUACAAAGCUGUACAUAUUCCUAUGGCGAUGCUGUGACUAGACGGAUGAAAGUCGCUUCUAAAUAAAACCCUGCUUCUAUCCAUGCGUUGGGUCGAUGCACCCCGCCGUCUUUGUAUUAACUUUCAGUUGUCAUGCCUGUGAUAUUCGGCUAGGCCAAGGGCACGAAUACUGAAAGGAUGUCGUCUAUGUCAGCACGCGACAAAAAAAGAAAAAAGAAAAAAGAAACGCAAUGGCUUGUUUUACGAAAAGGAAAGUCUUUUUGUCAUCAAGUCAUACUGGAUUGUAACUGAUGGGCGGUGGAUCGAACAAAAUGUCUUGAGAGCUUCUAACGCUGGAGAUGUACUACGGUGUCAGCUGUUCACUACUACUGAACUAAGUACCCUUUACUACGUCUUUAAUGGAAAAAAUUAUAUGGAAUAGAAGAAAAAUAAUUUCGAAUGGUGAAAAGACAGAACUUUUGUGUACCCAAGGUAUUGUGAAGAAUGCCACACGUCUCGAAGUUCUCUGAUGGAAAAUAAUCCAAUAAAGAAACAAUUUCAUCCAGAAAAACUUGGUAAUAAUUCAAUUUUUCGGAGCGGUCUGAAUAACAUAUCCGUUCACACCAAAACAAAACAACAGAAACAACAACAACAACAAAAACAGCAGCAGCAGCAACAAAAACAGCAGCAGCAGUAACAACAACAACAACAACAACAACAACGCUACUUUUAGGAGAAUAAAAUAUUUCAAUCAUACCAAAAGAAUCAACAGGGACGUUAACAAAAAGAAACGCUGCAACACUAAAAUGCAACCAACGCCAAAGGAUUAUUCAAAGAUGCUGAGGAGGCUGUGGAAUAAAGACAAUCAAUACAUCAUAAAAAUGCACAACGGAGCAGAGAGGAAGAGGAAAAUAGCAUAAGAACGUCGCAAAUGCCAUCCACCAUAACCGGCAAGGAACUCACGAAUAGAUUAAGAACUGCAAGCAAUUGAAAAGUAUCUGGGAUUGAGAAGCUUCACUCUGUUUCUGGCUGAACACCUGAUCAGUAAUCAUGGGUAUAUGGCAGCUGCAUUUAAUCAAGUGAUAAGCAGACCAGAACACCUGAUUGACUGAUGGAGAAGGAAACUAUAUUAAUUCCUCAAAAUACAAAUACCGGAGACUCGCAAAAUUAUGGCCCGGUAAAAUGCUUGCCAACAAUAUAUAAAGCUCUUAUAUUGACACUAUACAAAAGGCUUGUUACACACAAGGAGAGCGAUGUGUUAUAAAAAAACAGAACAGGUAUCGGCGGAGAAUAUAUAUCUGUCAAGAGCAGCUACUUUGUGAAACGACCAAUAACAGAAGAGAGUAAAAUGACGACAACAAACGCUAACAUUUGGUUAUUUGUGUAAAUUAUGUAUUAAAAAAAAUCAAACAAAUAAAAUAAUGUAUCAUGCGUUUGCUCUGCAUCUCGUUUGUAUAUAACUAUGUAUGUACAUCACUACAUAUCUCUGAAACUUAUCGGCUGGAUUGACUACAGAAAGACAUUCGAUUGCGUUUGAUAGCAUUCCCCAUUCUUGGAUAUUGGAGACAUUCUACAUAAAUAAUGCAGCUCUAAUAAUCACAGAAUAAAUACAUCAAGCAUAUUAUAUGACAAAGUGGGAACAACAAUAUCAGAACAAGGCAAUAGGGAGAUAUUUAAGAGAAGCCUGAUAACCAUAAGAAGAGUAGUCUUCAAAAGAGGACUCAUGAUUCUUUCUACUUUUUUUGCCGAUAUCUUACUAUCAAUACAUUUUAAACCUGUUGAAUGAAACCACCAUUCGGUACAUGUAUUAGUUUCAAAUUUUGUUAGAAGGCUAGCAAUUUCGGGGAAGUGAGUAAGUCGAUUAUGUCGACCCCACUGAUCAACUGGUCCUUAUUUUAUCGAGCCUGAAAGGAUGAAAGGCAAAGUCGGCCCUGGACGGGAUUUUGAACUCAGAACGUAAAGGUGGACGAAAUGCCGCUAAGUUUUUUUACUGAUGAGCUAACGAUUCUUGCAAUUUUGCCGCCUUGGCGGAGGUAAAUACAUUUUCUUCUACUCUAGGCUUAAGGCCUGAAAUUUUUGGGGAGGUGGGGGCAGUCGAUUACAUGUCCCCCCCCCCCCAGUACGCAACUGGAUAAAAGGCAAAGUGCCCGAUAGGAUAAAAGGCAAAAUCGACAGCGGCGAAAAUUUGAACUCGGAACGUAAAGACAGACGAAAUACCGCUAAGCAUUUCACCCGGCGUGCUAACGUUUCUUAUUUCUUUACUGCCCACAAGGAGCUACACACAGAGGGGACAAACAAGGACGGACAAACGGAUUAAGUCGAUUAUAUCGACCCCAAUGCGUAACUGGUACUUAUUUAAUCGACCCCCGAAAGGAUGAAAAGCAAAGUCGACCUCGGCGGAAUUUGAACUCAAAACGUAGCGGCAAACGAAAUGCCGCUAAGCAUUUCGCCCGGCGUGCUAACGUUUCUGCCAGCUCGCCGCCUUACUUUGCUAGAAUAUUCUUUUCUAUUUUGGGGGGAAGGAACCAGUCGAUUAGAUCGACCCCAGUACACAACUAGUACUUAAUUUAUCGAACCUGAAAUGGUGAAAGGCAAAGUUGACCUCGGCGGAAUUUGAACUCAGAACGUAGCGAUAGACGAAAUACCACUAAGCAUUUCGCCCAGCGUGCUAACGUUUCUGUCAGCUCGUCGUCUUGACAUAGAGAUCAUACAGAGUUAGCAAGAAAUGCAGCAAUGACUCAAAAAAAGACACCUUUCCGGCCCCUGACGAUGUAAGAGAGGGAAAAUGAGAGAGCUAUACCAGCAAUCGUCUGGUAAUCAUUUACAGCAGAGCAGUCUGAAACUGCAUGAAAUGCGGUGCUUUACUGAAGAAGACAGCGUGAUCACCGGCUCAGGUAUUGAACUCACAACUUUAGGAUCAUCAGCUGAACACUCUGACCACUAAACAACUCGCCUUCACUACCAAGUCAUUGUAAACACUAUAACAAUUGGCGAACUUACAAAAAAGACAAAAAAAAAAAAAAGAAGAAGAAGAAGAAGCUGAACAUCUUCGUUGAAUGGCCUCCUCGGAGUUUUUCUUUCCAAACUGAACUAUGUUUUAUAAGGAACCACCUUGUUGCUUUACUAGCACACACAAAAGAAAACAAUCAAUCAGUUA